AAAUAAAAAUGAGUGGCUAUAAAACCAUAUCUACACAAGUGAAAAAUACAUGGAUUUAUAGGGGAUAAUGGGUGACCGUGGAGCACUAUUUAACUCUGAGGAAGUGGGAACAUGAUUUCAAGCCAUUGGAAGCUAGUGAAACCACUAUGCCGUUUGAAUGAGGUUUCCUAAGCUUGCAGUGGAAUACUACCAACAAAGAGUCCUAUACACCAUUGGUAAACUUGUAAGAAAACCUCUGAAAGUGGAUCUAAACACAGCUGCCACAGUCAGAGAUAAAUUUGCUAAAGCCAAAUCUGCUAUUUUUGUUUUGUUAUGAGGAUUUCUAACUUCCUUUGCUUUAUUUUUUUGCUUACCAAGAAAUUACGUAGUUUGAUUCUACUAGGAUUAGGACUUCUAGUGUAAAUAGGGGUGCAAGCCCUAGGGCAAAGUUAAUUGUUCUACAUCAAUAAUGUUUGAGAACUUAUCUCAUUUUUUGACGUUCUUUUGUCCUGCAUAUGUGGCCUCCUCCUCCC
RNAcentral lists this long non-coding RNA (512 nucleotides) under Actinidia chinensis (golden kiwifruit). RNAcentral's name for it is "long non-coding RNA (ACHI_LNC001104)". Lineage: Eukaryota; Viridiplantae; Streptophyta; Magnoliopsida; Ericales; Actinidiaceae. The record is from RNAcentral.